GGUUGGUCUGAUGGUAGUGGGUUAUCAGAACUUACUAACAUUAAUGUCACUUAAGUUGGUAUACAACCCCCCACUGCUAAAUUUUACUAGCUUUAA
Aotus nancymaae (Ma's night monkey) is the source of this 96-nucleotide unclassified non-coding RNA. It matches the Rfam family "Y RNA". From Rfam's summary of the family: Y RNAs are components of the Ro ribonucleoprotein particle (Ro RNP), in association with Ro60 and La proteins. The Y RNAs and Ro60 and La proteins are well conserved, but the function of the Ro RNP is not known. In humans the RNA component can be one of four small RNAs -- hY1, hY3, hY4 and hY5. NCBI's taxonomy places the organism in Eukaryota, Metazoa, Chordata, Mammalia, Primates, Aotidae. The record is from Ensembl.